AUUGAACGCUGGCGGCAUGCCUUACACAUGCAAGUCGAACGGCAGCACGGGUGCUUGCACCUGGUGGCGAGUGGCGAACGGGUGAGUAAUACAUCGGAACAUGUCCUGUAGUGGGGGAUAGCCCGGCGAAAGCCGGAUUAAUACCGCAUACGAUCUACGGAUGAAAGCGGGGGACCUUCGGGCCUCGCGCUAUAGGGUUGGCCGAUGGCUGAUUAGCUAGUUGGUGGGGUAAAGGCCUACCAAGGCGACGAUCAGUAGCGGGUCUGAGAGGACGACCAGCCACACUGGGACUGAGACACGGCCCAGACUCCUACGGGAGGCAGCAGUGGGGAAUUUUGGACAAUGGGCGAAAGCCUGAUCCAGCAACGCCGCGUGUGUGAAGAAGGCCUUCGGGUUGUAAAGCACUUUUGUCCGGAAAGAAAUCCUUGGCCCUAAUACGGUCGGGGGAUGACGGUACCGGAAGAAUAAGCACCGGCUAACUACGUG
Molecule: ribosomal RNA, 486 nt
Filed under: uncultured bacterium
Lineage: Bacteria
Description: partial 16S ribosomal RNA
Rfam family: Bacterial small subunit ribosomal RNA
Source: RNAcentral